RNAcentral lists this long non-coding RNA (321 nucleotides) under Pan troglodytes (chimpanzee). Its description in RNAcentral is "long non-coding RNA NONPTRT007108". Lineage: Eukaryota; Metazoa; Chordata; Mammalia; Primates; Hominidae. The record is from RNAcentral.
CUCGAGAUUGAGUUUAAUCACCAAGGGCCAAUGAUGUAAUCAACCAUGCCUACAUAAUGGAACCACCAUAAAAACCCAAAGGACCCAUCAAGGUGUUGGGAGGAUGGUGCACCCGAAAGCACGUUGAAGCUCCCCACACUUCUCCACACCUCACCCUGUGCGUCUCCUCCAUCCUGCCAGGCUCCUGGGGCUGGGGUAACCUCCCACACUGGAAGGUAGACUUCGGAAGACCCUUCUGGAAAUGCUCCCAACUUGGGAAAACAGCGCUUCAGACUUCAGACCCAGGAAGAGAUCACCCAGUGCUCCUUUUAUGGGGCAUAC